UACAGAGGGGGCAAGCGUUGUUCGGAAUUACUGGGCGUAAAGGGCGCGUAGGCGGCCUUCUAAGUCGAACGUGAAAUCCCCGGGCUCAACCCGGGAACUGCGUCCGAUACUGGAAGGCUUGAAUCCGGGAGAGGGAUGUGGAAUUCCAGGUGUAGCGGUGAAAUGCGUAGAUAUCUGGAGGAACACCUGUGGCGAAAGCGGCUCACUGGACCACAACUGACGCUGAGGCGCGAAAGCUAGGGGAGCAAACAGG
Molecule: ribosomal RNA, 253 nt
Filed under: uncultured bacterium
Lineage: Bacteria
Description: partial 16S ribosomal RNA
Rfam family: Bacterial small subunit ribosomal RNA
Source: RNAcentral